Molecule: long non-coding RNA, 955 nt
Filed under: Danio rerio (zebrafish)
Lineage: Eukaryota; Metazoa; Chordata; Actinopteri; Cypriniformes; Danionidae
Description: uncharacterized LOC101886465 (LOC101886465)
Source: RNAcentral
CUCUGAUACAGCUGAUGUACUGUAGCUUUAUAUUCGCACAAAUAGAACAUACAUUCAACCAACAAUGAAUAAAGGGAGCCAUGUGAAUUAUGAAAUAAUCAUUGCCAUCCUCCUGUUUUCAGAUGUCUGUUCGAAAACGAAACAAGAUUAUGGAAUAUUCACAGCAUGUGUCAACACAAACCAAAGCCUAACGCUUAGAUGUUUUUACCCACGUUGUGAAAGUGAUAAAACGCCCUUUCACUGUAACCUGUAUGAUGCUGAGGGAGACAGAAGAACUCUAGUUAGCAGCUCAGCACAGUCUGAAGAGUGUCGACACACUAUCAAUGAUGACCACAUUACCAUUUACCAUAACAAGACCAAGAUUUACAUAUGUAUUCUGUCACGGAGAUCAGCUCUGGAAGAAAGGACAAUCACUGUGAACCAUGCCAAUAAAAAAGAGCGACCACAUAAAUGCAAAUCGGGAGGAGAAUACACACGUGUCUCAGGAUUGCUUUACACAAUAGCAUUUCUUUUCUUUCAAGAAACUUAUUUAUAAAUGCAUAGCUCUUUAAAAGCAAACUCAGACAUCAAAUUUUGAUAAAAUAUUAUUAAAGCUAUAAAGCAGGGACAUAUAAGAUGUGACAAAUUCAUUAUCAUUUACUAGCAUUUAUAUGUUUCUUCAUAUAAGGGCAUUUGUGCCUUGCCUUAAACCAAAUUCCAUAAUCCUAGUUAACACGUUUCUAAGUGUGCAGUGCAUGCAUCAUGAUGAAAUCAUUUUGUGUCUGUGUGUUGUUUAUUAUCUGAAUGUCAUGCAAUUUUUUGCUGCUUUGUGCGGUAUUCACACGUCUCAAAAUUAGCAUUUGUCAUUUUCAUCUUUGUUAUUUUGAUAGCCAAGGGUGUAUUUGUAUUCAUCGUUAAGUUUGCAGUGGUGGAAAAAAUGAUGUUGUUUAAAUACAGUAUAUAUUUCAGAAAUUAA